Molecule: ribosomal RNA, 432 nt
Filed under: uncultured bacterium
Lineage: Bacteria
Description: bacterial SSU rRNA
Rfam family: Bacterial small subunit ribosomal RNA
Source: RNAcentral
GCAAGGGGUGAGUAAAGUGGCGUACGGGUGAGUAACACGUGGGUAAUCUGCUCUUUGGUGGGGAAUAACCCUGGGAAACCGGGGCUAAUACCGCAUAAGCUCGCAAGAGGAAAGGUGAAAAUCGCCGAAGAAGGAGCCCGCGGCUGAUUAGCUAGUUGGUGAGGUAAAGGCUCACCAAGGCGAAGAUCGGUAGCCGGCCUGAGAGGGCACACGGCCACACUGGCACUGAAACACGGGCCAGACUCCUACGGGAGGCAGCAGUGGGGAAUCUUGCACAAUGGGGGAAACCCUGAUGCAGCGACGCCGCGUGAGCGAUGAAGCCCUUCGGGGUGUAAAGCUCUUUCGGCAGGAACGAUAAUGACGGUACCUGAAGAAAAAGCUGCGGCUAACUACGUGCCAGCAGCCGCGGUAAUACGAACGCAGCGAGCGUUG